AUGAACGCUGGCGGCGUGCCUAAUACCUUCCAGUCGAGCGAACAGACGAGGAGCUUGCUCCUCUGACGUUAGCGGCGGACGGGUGAGUAACACGUGGAUAACCUACCUAUAAGACUGGGAUAACUUCGGGAAACCGGAGCUAAUACCGGAUAAUAUAUUGAACCGCAUGGUUCAAUAGUGAAAGACGGUUUUGCUGUCACUUAUAGAUGGAUCCGCGCCGCAUUAGCUAGUUGGUAAGGUAACGGCUUACCAAGGCAACGAUGCGUAGCCGACCUGAGAGGGUGAUCGGCCACACUGGAACUGAGACACGGUCCAGACUCCUACGGGAGGCAGCAGUAGGGAAUCUUCCGCAAUGGGCGAAAGCCUGACGGAGCAACGCCGCGUGAGUGAUGAAGGUCUUCGGAUCGUAAAACUCUGUUAUUAGGGAAGAACAAAUGUGUAAGUAACUAUGCACGUCUUGACGGUACCUAAUCAGAAAGCCACGGCUAACUACGUG
RNAcentral lists this ribosomal RNA (496 nucleotides) under uncultured bacterium. Its description in RNAcentral is "partial 16S ribosomal RNA". It matches the Rfam family "Bacterial small subunit ribosomal RNA", at positions 29 to 507 of the family's 1533-position model. The record is from RNAcentral.